This 84-nucleotide transfer RNA is filed under the name Phycisphaerales bacterium. Its description in RNAcentral is "tRNA-Leu". It matches the Rfam family "tRNA". From Rfam's summary of the family: Transfer RNA (tRNA) molecules are approximately 80 nucleotides in length. The record is from RNAcentral. Lineage: Bacteria; Pseudomonadati; Planctomycetota; Phycisphaerae; Phycisphaerales.
GCCCGGGUGGCGGAAAUGGCAGACGCGCAUGGUUGAGGGCCAUGUGCCCGCAAGGGCGUGCUGGUUCGACUCCAGUCCCGGGCA